GAGACAGAAAGAGAGAAAAAAGAAAGAAAGAAAGGAAGGAAGAAAAGAAGAAUGAAAGAAAGAAGGGAAGGAAGAAAGGAAGAAGGAAAGAAAGAAAGGAUCCUGAUAAUAUGAAACUACUUCCACUGCAGAUGCCUUGGUUGGAGCUGGCUGCACAUGUCUGGCCAUCAAGCUGCUAUUUCUGCCUGUGCCAGUCGCUCCAGGAUUGGAGCUAUGAGAAGAGAGCUUUGAAGAGCUGUCCAGGAAGCACCGUUGGACAACCAGAUGAGAUCCCCAGAUGUUUUGCUCAUAAGGGAGGAAUGUGAAGACCUGUCAGGAUUUGGGACAGAUGUCAGAUGAGCUAUUUAAUCUGAAUGCACAUUUUAUACAGUGUGUCUGGAUCUGAUGUAAGAAAAAGCAUGACCUAACCCAGUGUUAUAACUUAUGUAUGAUUUGGAGAUGGUAAAGGUGUCUCAGCAUUAAUCUCCAAAAUCCCCUUUCCAUUUUAAAGAUUAAGUAUCAUGGAUAACACAGUCUUUUUAGUAGACAGUUUACUUUAGAAUAUUACCAAAAAAACAAAAAUAAAAAUCCAUAGUGGAAUUCUUCAUUUAGCAAGAGGACAAGUUAAUCAUUCAGAACAUUAGUAAGAUAAGAUGUAAAAGUAACAUAUAAGCAUUACAGGUAGCAUAUUCUUACCUUAAUUUUGCUUUCUAAGGAUUUCACCAUUUGAACAUUAUAAAUAUUAAGGAUAAUUUAUGGCAGCAUUUGACAACAUUCAAUGGAUUUCUUUUUCCACAAUACAUUAAUUGUGUGGUAUAUGUACAAUGCUGUGAAAACAGUUUGCCUUUUUACAAUGGGGAGAAGCUCUUUAGCUAGUGCAGCAUUUUAGAAACAGAAUACCAAACAUGGUGGUUGCAGUGUGAUGGCCUUGGGCUGCUUUGCUGUUUUAUGACCUGGUAAACUUGAUAUUAUUCCAGGAACCAUUAAUUCUGCUCUCUAAUUUAAAUCUAUGAAGGAGAAUAUUGUCCAGUUGUGACAUAACAAUUUACCACAGGACAAAAAUCCAAAGUCAGUCCACUUUUAAACUUCUCAAACUAAAAGUUUUGGAGAGACUUAAUUAAAAUACGUAUGUUCUGAAAUCCAAUCGAGAUUCUGUAGUCUGAUUUUGAACAGGUCAUCCAUGCUUGAAAAUUCUCCACUUUGGUUAAAUUAAAACAAUUCUGGAAAGAAGAAUGGGCCAAAAUUCUUCCACUUAAAUGUAAAAAACUCAUUGUGACUUAUAGAAAACAUGGUAGUUGUUCACUAGUGUUUAGCUUUCGAGGACAGUUGAUUUCCAAGGUUGAUUUGAAAUCUGUAUAUUUGCUUAAAGUUUAUAUGUGGAGACAAGAGAGUCAGUAUCUGUUCAGCGGUGUGACAGAGUCAAAUAAUAAAGACUAUAUGUUGGGUUCCUCAACAACAUUUAGUUACACCAUAAUUGACUUUCUCAAAGCAGUUACAUUUACAAAAUCAAUACAAUUUUUGUUAUAGUGACAAAAAUCUGGCAUCAUAAAUUGUCUGUCUAUGCUGCCAGACAAUUGUUUUAAAUCAGUUGUCUGGCAGCAUGUAGAAAAAUUAAACAGCCACAAUGUGUCUGUUUCAACAAAUCAGUUGAAUCUUCCUGAUUCAACUGAUAUAUAAGCAGUGUAAAAACGAUUGUGUCCCACCUUGCAAGCUAACUUGACAACAAAACCAUUAAUGAAUUUUACAUGUUGGUCAUGGUUCUCUCAUACUAACUCUCAUAUCUUUCCAGCUUGUACUUCCGAUCUUUUUAUCCUAACUACUGAGACUGUUUCUGUGCAACCUACAAACCUGUACACAGAUAAAUAAAUAAUCCCAUGCUCAGACACUUAUUGCACACUAACAGAUUCCAGAAAAAAAUAAAUAAAUAAAAAAAUAAAAAAAAUGUAGGUAGUGGAAAACAAACCCAUUUUCUCACUAUCCUCUCUUUCCCACUUUCUGAGUUUAUGGUUUUGUUGCAGUUUCAGGAUAAUGGGGCAGUAUGUUUUGUAUUUACCUUUGGCAGCAUGGCUUAGUGAAUUCCAAAUGUUUCUUUUGAAGUAUGUGUGUGUUUGUGAGAAUGCCUCUAAUUGGACUCUGGGUUUAUUGUUUGUACAAGACUGUGAUGUUAGAGGCUUCAAUUGUUUGCCUCCCAGUUAGAAAAAUGCAGUAACCAUUGUUUUCUUUCAGUCAGUUUAUGUGCACCUGUUUUUAUUUCUCAUUUUGUGAGUCCUCAGAUCAGUUGAGCAUAUGUGAUGCGUAUUUGGGUAUCAGACUCCAAAAUGCAAAAUUUAUGGUAUAUUUUAAUUUACUGUUUGAUAAAACAAUGCUUUUACUCUACAACCUAAACUUAAUAUGAUUUUGAACCUAUAAAGAUCAAGCAACCACCAAAGUGUCUUUUAAUGACAGUAUAUUACAUAGGCCCUGAUCCUUAAACACCUUUACAUCAAUAAUGUCCAUCUUCAAUACUCCUAUACACCAAUUGUUGACAUUUAUACCUUUGUACUUCUGCUUUCUUCUUCAGUUGUCUGGGAAUUUUCAGGCUCCUUCAUUCCUUGUGACACAUCUACUUGAUGGCUAAUAAAUUAUUCUUAUCCCUAUUCCUUGAUAAGAGACAGUCAUUGGCAAUUAGCUCUGCUCCAUUUGCUUUAGAGUAGGACUAGCCUGUUGGCAACUCCUGUUAUUGAGAUCAAUCAGUUAAAAUGUAGCACUAAAGCUUGGAGGGCAGUUUGCGUGUUUGUGUGUGGGUUUUAAACGCCUUGUGUGAUCGAGACUGGAUGACUGCCCUCUUGAGAUCUUGAGCGAUUAGUGUGGAAAUUACUCUCAGAUUGCUGUGCAUUGUGCCCCAU
Long non-coding RNA from Gambusia affinis (western mosquitofish), 2864 nucleotides. RefSeq lists it as uncharacterized. The record is from RefSeq and is a predicted model, not a curated record. NCBI's taxonomy places the organism in Eukaryota, Metazoa, Chordata, Actinopteri, Cyprinodontiformes, Poeciliidae. The transcript is spliced from 3 exons.